Molecule: long non-coding RNA, 3792 nt
Filed under: Solanum lycopersicum (tomato)
Lineage: Eukaryota; Viridiplantae; Streptophyta; Magnoliopsida; Solanales; Solanaceae
Description: long non-coding RNA (SLYC_LNC000301)
Source: RNAcentral
AAGAACUCACAUUCUCCCAACUCACACUAAACUUAUUCACUCUCUCUCAACACAAGAGCUCUCAUCCUCUUACCACUCAUACUAUUACUACUCUUAAAGAAAUUAAGAUUCCGGUGUUCUUCUUUAUUACUACUUGGCUACUUUGCUUUGUUGAAAUAGAAGUUUGAUCAACUCGUUCUCAUUGCUACCAACCUUUUUUCUCAACCGAUUAGUAUUCCUUUCGCAUUCAUACAUUUACGAAAGUUUAUUGUUCUAUUUCCCUAUAUAUAUAACUUGUUAAACAAUUGCAUAUCUAUCUUAUCUUGUCUAAAUAAAUGUGAUUACUUGUGUAGCUAUUAUAUAUUAAAAACUUUUUAAAAAGAUUCGGGGAUUCACAUUUAUAUCUUAGGAAGGGGUUAAACACCCAAAAUAUCAGCUUAAUUGCGGUUACCGACAACUAACUCUAUAUGGCUAAAAAUUUAACUUGAUUUUAUUUUGGGGUAAAAAUUGUUUAGAGCUUGUUUUGGAAAUGAAUACUUAGUUUUUAUCUAAAUUAAACAUAUAACUUGAAAGUUAUUUUAGAACUAUUUAAACUUGAUUCCAUUUUAAAGUGUUAAAACAUUACGGCGCUUCCAGGGAAUCGGAUUCUUUUAACUUUAAAACUAACAGUCACGAAUAGAAAAAGACAAGAAAACAAAAAAAGAGAAAGAGAGAGAGAUAUUUGGAUUCAAAUCCGGGUUUCCUGUCCGCCUUGACCGGAAUUUUGGACCUACCUAUUUUGAGUUUUUUGGCCCAUUCGACUUUUUGGAUUUUCGACCCAUUUUUCUUUCGUAUCUGUCCUAGACUAAACAUACAAAAUUAAUAAGUACGAAAAGUAAAAGAUGACAAGGGCUUAGGCCUGAAAAAUAACAAAAUACAAUAAGAAAUGAACAUAUAAAGUGGGCCUCCUUUGGCCCAACUUCUUCAAAUCUUUUUCAAUCCUUCCAACUCCGGAUCGGUACACCGUUUUAAAUCUAUUCUUUCGAUUUCUAGACAAUAUAUUCGGUGAAGGAACUAUGAGUCUUUUGUCUCUGCUGAAAUGCGAGGGAGAGAGUCUCCCGGAACUCAGGAGGACUGGUCCAACAUAAAAGAGAAUGAAAUAAAUAACGAUUAGUAACAGAGCAUAGUUCAAUUAUAGAUAACACAACCAAUGUCAAAAAAAUAAAAAAAAAUAAAGAACAAGACGGAUAAAUGCAGCUAGCUAGUUCACUGUUAAGUUGUGAAGGUGACAAGGAAGAGUAUACACAUCCAAACGAAUUCUGCUUUUAAAAUUACAGUAACUCCCAUAUAAUAAAGUAGAAUACAGGAAAAGAGACUAUAGACAUGCAAUUGAACUAGCAACUAAGGAACUGAUUAGCGGAUUCAUGCAAGAGAAGAAACAUAAAGAAAAUAUAUGCUAGCAUUUACUUGUGAUAACAGUAGUAUAUAAGCAUAUAAAUUCUAAUUGAUCUAAUCAAUGCUCACUGAUCACAACCUUUCUAAUAUAAAACUUAAUUGGCAGCAACUAUUUGAAAAAGAGAAACGAACAUAACUCAAAUUAGCAAACACAUAUGGGAGAUACAAGAAUGAGGGAGUGUUGUAUCUUGAAGAAGUGCCUACCCAGGCAGAACAUGAAGUCCGAUCAAUUUAUCGCACACAAGAUAUAUUUCGAAUAGACAACAUGAAAGGGAAAUAACACGAUCAAAACAAUCACCUACGAAUUCAAAACACCAAAUAUAAAACAUUAAUUGAACUCUAGAUGCUGACGUCUUAUUUCUUUUCCAUCUGGUAAUGUGAGAGCGAAAAGAGUGAUCUGAAAGCGAAAAAAACAAUAACGAGCUAGGAAAGAGCCUAAAGAACUGAUAACCAAAACUCAGGGAGGCAACAAAACAAUGCAUAACAACAAACCCUCAAUUCGAAUCCAUUAACCCAAUCUGAUGGAAGAACGGAGGAACAGUGACAUGGGCUAGGGGAAAGAGAGACUCAAAAUCAAAUCAGACGCACAAGAACAACAAAUCUCGAUGGACCAUCGAAUGCAGUAAAUAAGCAGGAAGCCGUCAAGAAUCAUUAAAGAGUAACUCCAAGUAAAGACUAUAUCAUAUUAACUCGAAAUUUGGUAGAAUAAUAGCUGGACCAACGAGAUAUAAUUAGCAUUCAACUACUUAAACUAGUCAAGAAAAUGGAAUCCUUCAUUUUUUGAAUAAACAAAUUCACUGAAUCAGUGAUCAUAACAAGCACCCUAGAAAUCAUAAAUUUAAAUAAAGUCUAACCUUACAGAUUAUUAUUUUAAAUUUCAAGGAAAAAUAUGUCGAAAAAGGGGGGAAAGAACAAAUUUUCAAGCAGCUACACGACUUAAAAAGAAGAAGAAAAUAAUGGAGAGAAACUCAUACCAAACAUGAAAACUAGACAAAAGGCAGCAUACUAGAUCAAAAUGUGAAGAAAAUCAGCCAUAGCAUCCAAAACAGCCAGUGUAAAACGUCAAACGAAACCGAAACUAAACUAUCUGGAUCCACUCUUAACUUGAGGUGAAGCAUAAAAGAGGUGACAUCAAACAAACUCCAAACACACAACAAACAUAUAUCAGGUGGAAAAUAAAGCUAACUCGAAAACAAAACAACAACGAGACGAGUUAAGAUAAGAGAAGGAGAGUUUCACCUUUUUCCGGUAAGCGAACUUGGACGAAACUAUUUCCGGUAAGCGAACUUGGACGGAACUGUUAAAGAAUGAUAAAAGUCCCACAUCGGUGAUUAAUGAGAUGGGUGGACUGUUUAUAAGGCUUGGACAAUCCUCCUCCCUUUGAGCUAGCUUUUGAGCUGUGAGUUAGGCCUAAAACCUAAUUUCACAUGGUAUUAGAGUGCGUUUCACCCGAUCCAACAUCGGUGAUUAUUGAGAUGGAUGGACUUUUAUAAGGCAAUCCUCCUCCCUUUGUUCUACGAGAACUCAAACUAGAACAAAAAUUGAGGACUUUAAGCAAAAUAUCGGACUCAAACCCCAAAAAAUAAAAACCUGAUUUCUUUUCCGUUUCAUCCUGAAAACGUGUUUUUGUCCCUCUUUGCUACUUUCAUGAAUCUGUAUAUAUAUUUUGUUUUCUACGAUUCAACUCAAAAAUCUUGAAAUAAAUUUUCCUUCCCUUUUGUUCUAUAAGCUUUGUCAACAAAAUUUUCCUCCCUCUCUGUGCCUUCAACUCAAAAAAUUCCCCUCCCUACUAAAAAUAAACAGAAAACUACAUUAUAUAGAGGAACCAACUAGGGUUUCGGAAAUGGGAAAAAGGCUGAAAAACCAGAUAAGAACAAAGCCCAAUUUGAGUUUUUUUUUCGAAUUUUCUCCAAAAGCAGAGGAAUAGCAGGUGCUUGUAGGAAAUCUCUACAAUUACUCAACAAAUUCCAACGUCUCAUUAAUGAGAGUCGUUCGAGCUCGAGGUAAGGACAGAUGCAGCUUGAGAUCGCAACACCUAGACGAUGAAGGACGACUGGCAGGCUGCUGGUUGUACAAAAUUCGUACGGGCCUGGAAAAUGGACGCGUCUCCUGACAUGGAGACGUUGGAGCGUCGCUCACGCGUGGAGAGAAGGCGAUGCGUGCAGGAUUGCCUGCUAAUCGUUGUUCACGUAAAGCCGUGCAUUCAUUGAAUUUUAUGCGUGGCGAAGAAGAAAAUAACGCUCUCCUUCUUGAUGGAAGAAGACUGUUUGAUCGGGUUGGAAGGAGAAAAUAGGCUGGGCGGAUUAGAGUUGGACUUGAGGGAGAAGUUGGGCUGGGUCAUUUGAUGAUUUGCUAAAACAGAUGGGAAUUGGGUUGGGG